CACGUUCAAGUAUUUUAGUACAGAUGUGAAAUGAAACUUUGGAGACGUGGCAGACUGAGGUUUAACAGUGCUCUUUUACAGCAUGCUGUGGUAGUACAGCCCCUUAAAGAUCUGAAUAAUUGUAUGAAACCACACCAGCUGUGUAUAUUACAGAGGUGCACAAACGUAUUUGCGCUGCAGAGCAUGCAAGCACUUCAGUAAUGCAUCUUAAACCACCAAGCCUGCAAAGCUACAGUAUGUGCCGGAACGAGAAACUCAAGAAACCCUUUUCGUUCUCAGUUCUUCUGAUGAAUUUACAAACGUAGAGUGGAGAAGAAGAGUCACCCGCUGUGUUCUAUUUGUAUUAUAAUACUUUUUUUUUAUUGCUGUAUGAGAAGUUACAGUACAGAUGCUAGAUCAUCUUUUGACUGAAGUCUGCAGAGGAGGUGGACAUGGAUAAAGUGACCGCCGCCAUGGUCCUGACCAGCCUGUCCACCAGCCCGCUCGUCCGCAGUCCUCCGGUCAGACUUGGUGAAGGCGCCAACGGCUCCUGGAAGGAAGGGGGAUUCAUGCCCUCCAGCCACAGCAGCAGUGGCUAUUGGAGCUGGAGUGCCCCCAGCGACCAGUCCAACCCCUCCACCCCCUCCCCGCCCC
Non-coding RNA from Lepisosteus oculatus (spotted gar), 633 nucleotides. Lineage: Eukaryota; Metazoa; Chordata; Actinopteri; Semionotiformes; Lepisosteidae. The record is from RefSeq and is a predicted model, not a curated record.